This 445-nucleotide ribosomal RNA is filed under the name uncultured bacterium. RNAcentral describes it as "partial 16S ribosomal RNA". It matches the Rfam family "Bacterial small subunit ribosomal RNA", at positions 354 to 796 of the family's 1533-position model. The record is from RNAcentral.
GUGAGGAAUAUUGCGCAAUGGAGGCAACUCUGACGCAGCCAUGCCGCGUGCAGGAAGAAGGCGCUACGCGUUGUAAACUGCUUUUAACCGGGAAGAAACCUCAGGACGUGUCCUGGUUUGACGGUACCGGAGGAAUAAGCACCGGCUAACUUCGUGCCAGCAGCCGCGGUAAUACGAAGGGUGCAAGCGUUAUCCGGAUUCAUGGGGUUUAAAGGGUGCGUAGGCGGAGCGUUAAGUCAGUGGUGAAAUCCUGCAGCUUAACUGUAGACUUGCCAUGGAUACUGGCGCUCUUGAGUGCGCAUGAAGUGGGCGGAAUGUGCCGUGUAGCGGUGAAAUGCUUAGAUAUGGCACAGAACACCAAUUGCGAAGGCAGCUCACUAAGGCGAUACUGACGCUGAGGCACGAAAGCGUGGGGAUCGAACAGGAUUAGAAACCCCAGUAGUCC